UCCACAUCACCCAAAACCCAUCUUCCACUGAGCCCUCUCCCUCUUGCGAUCUCCUCACCAAAAUCACCGAGUCACAACCGUCGGCUUCCUCUUUUCCCUCACGCAACACCGAUCGAUCUCCCUCUCGCGAGUUCCCCCCACCUAGCCGACCUCUCUUCCUCUCUCGAGCACCACAGCCGUCAGCUCUCCUCAUGCGAGCACCCCAGCCGCCACAACCUCCGACCCCGUCGCCUGUAAUCGCGGGCUGACCAUCGACCGAGAAGGGGAAGCCUGAUUCCUAGCUUCGAUUCCACAUCGCCGAAUGCUGAUGGAUGUAGCCAACGUCGAUGCCCUAAAUCCACUAUCUCUAUUCCCGUAAUCAACCAGAUCAAGGGUGUUGAUAUGGAGAAGGUAGAGAUCAGUUUUUACUGGUUGAUUUUCCCCUUUGGCUCAGAUCUUGGUGGACAGAUUUAGGGAUUUGGGGGUUUCCUUGCUAUUUCUGUUUGGGAUUUUGAUUCGAUACGGGUGAUUUGACGUUGGGUUGUAUUUGACAUGGUCUACAUUUAAGGCGAG
Long non-coding RNA from Zingiber officinale, 552 nucleotides. RefSeq lists it as uncharacterized. NCBI's taxonomy places the organism in Eukaryota, Viridiplantae, Streptophyta, Magnoliopsida, Zingiberales, Zingiberaceae. The record is from RefSeq and is a predicted model, not a curated record. The transcript has 3 exons.